GGGCACGACACCGGAGAGGGAGCCUGAGAAACGGCUACCACAUCCAAGGAUGGCAGCAGGCGCGCAAAUUACCCAAUCCCGACACGGGGAGGUAGUGACAAUAAAUAACAAUACGGGGUUCUUUAGGAUCUCGUAAUUGGAAUGAGUACAAUUUAAAUCUCUUAACGAGGAACAAUUGGAGGGCAAGUCUGGUGCCAGCAGCCGCGGUAAUUCCAGCUCCAAUAGCGUAUAUUAAAGUUGUUGCAGUUAAAAAGCUCGUAGUUGAAUUUCGGGGUUAGUAGGUUGGUCAUGCCUCUGGUAUGUACUGGUCUCACUGAUUCCUCCUUCCUGAUGAACCGUAAUGCCAUUAAUUUGGUGUUGCGGGGAAUUUGGACUGUUACUUUGAAAAAAUUAGAGUGUUUAAAGCAAGCUAACGCUUGAAUACAUUAGCAUGGAAUAAUGAAAUAGGACGUUCGAUCCUAUUUUGUUGGUUUCUAGGAUUGACGUAAUGAUUAAUAGGGAUAGUUGGGGGCAUUAGUAUUCAAUUGUCAGAGGUGAAAUUCUUGGAUUUAUUGAAGACUAACUACUGCGAAAGCAUUUGCCAAGGAUGUUUUCAUUAAUCAAGAACGAAAGUUAGGGGAUCGAAGACGAUCAGAUACCGUCGUAGUCUUAACCAUAAACUAUGCCGACUAGGGAUCGGAUGAUGUUAAUUUUUUAAUGACUCAUUCGGCGCCUUACGGGAAACCAA
RNAcentral lists this ribosomal RNA (727 nucleotides) under uncultured Glomeromycotina. RNAcentral's name for it is "SSU rRNA". It matches the Rfam family "Eukaryotic small subunit ribosomal RNA", at positions 373 to 1101 of the family's 1831-position model. Lineage: Eukaryota; Fungi; Glomeromycota. The record is from RNAcentral.